This 70-nucleotide transfer RNA is filed under the name Gemmataceae bacterium. RNAcentral's name for it is "tRNA-Sec". The stretch from base 5 to 61 matches the Rfam family "tRNA", at positions 7 to 64 of the family's 71-position model. Rfam says of the family: Transfer RNA (tRNA) molecules are approximately 80 nucleotides in length. Their secondary structure includes four short double-helical elements and three loops (D, anti-codon, and T loops). Further hydrogen bonds mediate the characteristic L-shaped molecular structure. tRNAs have two regions of fundamental functional importance: the anti-codon, which is responsible for specific mRNA codon recognition, and the 3' end, to which the tRNAs corresponding amino acid is attached (by aminoacyl-tRNA synthetases). tRNAs cope with the degeneracy of the genetic code in two manners: having more than one tRNA (with a specific anti-codon) for a particular amino acid; and 'wobble' base-pairing, i.e. permitting non-standard base-pairing at the 3rd anti-codon position. The record is from RNAcentral. Lineage: Bacteria; Pseudomonadati; Planctomycetota; Planctomycetia; Gemmatales; Gemmataceae.
CCCGGUGGUGUCAUGGAGCACGCCACGCUUCAAGCGUGGAGGAGGAGGUUCGAAUCCUUCCGCGGGGCCA